UUCCUGUGCCCAAGUUUGAUUUUAAACAAAGA
Molecule: non-coding RNA, 32 nt
Filed under: Mus musculus (house mouse)
Lineage: Eukaryota; Metazoa; Chordata; Mammalia; Rodentia; Muridae
Source: RNAcentral